RNAcentral lists this ribosomal RNA (1224 nucleotides) under Triticum aestivum (bread wheat). RNAcentral's name for it is "partial small subunit ribosomal RNA". Lineage: Eukaryota; Viridiplantae; Streptophyta; Magnoliopsida; Poales; Poaceae. The record is from RNAcentral.
AUGGCGGAAUGGCAGAACUUGAAAGUCAAGGCGGCUGUUGGCUCUGUUUUACCUACUGAACCCGGCGCAACCUACCACUGCCGGCAGAUUCCAGAAGGAUAUGCUAGGGUGAUGGUGGAUGAAAUAACGGAGGGAUUUGAGGACCUCCAGCUUGACCACCCUACCGGUGAAGGGGAGACUCGGCUGGGUUUAGCUCUAAAGACUCCAUGCCUAUGGCGGAAGGAGCUCAUCAAGCUUCCGAACUGGAUGGCUCCGGCGAGUAAGGGCACUCCGCCUCCUCCUCCGGCGAGUGAUCAGGGCACUCAGCCUCCUUCUCCGGCGCGUGGCGGCACUCCGCCUCCUUCUCCGCCAGCGCCGGCGCGCCAGAGCAGCCAGCCUCCUCCUUCUCCGCCUCGUCAGCAAGGGCGGAAGAGACCCGCCGCCGCUGCGGCUGCUCCGGCGCGUCGUAGUCCUUCUCCUCCGCCUCGUAAGCAAGGAAAGAAGACAGCCGCAGCCGCUCCGUCUGCUUUGCCGGCGUCUAGCAGUACAGCUGCCAGAGGCGGGAGGCAAUACAGAUUCGGUCCUUCUCUGAAGACUCUAGAGAAGUUACCAUAUGAGAGGACCGAGGAGGAGAACGCGAAGAUCGUGCGAGCCGAAGUGAAGAACUUCUUUGAAGGGGACAAAGCAAAGAAACAUCCACCUCCGGAGGAGAAGGUAGAUCCGGUGAAAGCAAAGCGCACUCUGGCUGCCUUGACAAAACCACCAAAGUCUCCGCCAAAAGGCAACUAUGAGCGCGUUCUUGCAAAGGCAUAUGCCGAAGCGGAGCGGUCGGGAAGUACUGUUAGUGAUAAAAGGAUGAAAGAACGACGAGUUGGGAAAAAAAUUGCCCAGCUCGGCGAACAAGAGAACCAAUCGUGCCCCCCGCUCAAGGUGUCAAAAGACAUCGUCGCUAAUGAUCCGGGUAUGGUGCCCGGUUAUACCGAUCUUGGAGAUUACCUGCCCGACGAUGUACAUUAUGAAAUCAUGGAGGUGGACGAACACAAAUACCAUUACGGGAAGCCUCUCGUCAAAGAUGUCAAAUCUCUAAGCACGAUGAUGCGAAGACUACAUGAUUGGUACAUGAAAACCUGCAGAGAGUCUGAUGGGAUGAGUACUUUAACGCUGAGAGUUAAACCGGAGCAUGACCUCGUUGAAAUUGAACUGCUGAAUGUUCCAUUUGAGGAUUUCUUCCAGUUUUCGAUCUAA